RNAcentral lists this long non-coding RNA (10180 nucleotides) under Populus tremula. Its description in RNAcentral is "long non-coding RNA (PTRE_LNC000420)". Lineage: Eukaryota; Viridiplantae; Streptophyta; Magnoliopsida; Malpighiales; Salicaceae. The record is from RNAcentral.
UGCACUGGUACACGAACCCUAAUACAUUUUGUCCACAAGCAUCACAGCAUCUUUCACCCUUUUGCGGGGCUCUGGAGUGAAAUCUCAAGCUGCACUUCGAAAAUGGAUGGGAGGUAGAUGGAGUAGCCUUUGCGCAUUCCUCGUGAAGAUAGAAGUUGCAGUCUUUGUGCUCGCAUUUGUAGCAUGGGCCAAACCCCAGUCCUUUGCAUCCGUCACAUUCAUAAGGCUCUCGUGGACGCUUCAACAACAGAAAAUGUUCGCUAUGACUGGAAUGUUUAAUCUUGGUAAUUAAUCCCAUGUCUGUUGAAGCAAAACAAUAAUAAACUUGGUCAGUUAAUCUCAAGUAAGGGCGUAAUAAAACAUGUAACCACACCAUUUUCAGAUGCUGAAAUGUUCCUACCCAGGAAAAUUAUAAACACUUAUAGUACUGUUGUGUGAAAUUCAAUAGACCCAACCGCAAAAAGAGAAGAACUGACCAAAUAAUUAAUAUAUUAUGCUUUUAUCCGAAAUUAAAGCUAUAUUUAUAAGAGAAAUUGUUUCCAGAUUGAAUUGAAAAGAGGAGAAAGAAAGAAAAGUACGUGGUCUACCCAUUCAACGACAAAGAUAUUGUUUAUGAAUUAAGAGAGCGAGUAUGUAUACGUGUAUUUGAGAGUAUGCUAAGACAUGAUAUUCAUCUUGUGAUCACCAGACACGAGAUGUUAUCGUCGGGAAAAAGAAAGGGGGAAGCUGGGGUGGAAUCAGGGAUGCAGAGUGCGAAACCAUCAAACCACUCGUUGUAUAAAACAAGAAUCAUCCUUGAAUUGAUUUCACUAAAUGCGAAGUUUAUAAAAAUAUAUUAAAAAAACACACAAGAAUUAGUAAUCGUAAUAAAUAAAUAGCAAGCAGAUAAAAUAUUAUCUUACCGAAAUGUUUCCGCUAGGAUCUCUAAUGAAUUAGUCUUGGCUUCGACGGCAGGCUUUAUAAACCACGAGCACCUCUUUGAUACCCAAGAUGAUGUGCGUUCAUGUAUUUAUGAAUAUAGGAGCAGUUUGGCUUUUGAUUCGAAGUGAAGAGAUCUGAUCCAGUGGUUUAUUAUAUACAGGUAAUUAACCGACUUAAAAAGGAAACUUCAAACACUGGACAUGGACAUGGACCUAACAUAUAAUCAACUAAGAAAUACAGAGAUAAAUAUCAAGCACUGGGAAGCCGUGCCUUGGGGGGCAAAUUAGCUUACAUAUAACGCAAGUACUGACACCUUACAUAUCUUACCGAAAUGUUUGCAGUUGUCAUAUAAAAUCAACAAGGUGACGUUGAUAAAAAAAAUAAAAAUAAAAGCUGAUUCUCCUAAACCAAUACUGGCCCGUUUAUUUGUUCAUUAAGUCGCAGCCCAGACUAGCCUCUAAAAUCUGAUGAGAGAUAAUCCUGCCGGUGGAAUCAAGCCUCAGGACUAGAUCUGGCCUGACACCUGAAAUAAUCAAGCCUUAGUUGGAUUUUUUUUUCCCGGAUGAUGGCUGGACACUUUUGUUUUGUGUUGGGCAGGUUGUAUCAUACACACUAGCCACGGGCGCUGCUGCGGCAUUUGGAGCGACAAAAGACCUGAAGACACAAUUUGCAGGGCUAGGAGGUGAUAAGUUUGUCAACAAAGGUUAUGCAUCCGCUAGUCUCCUCCUCCUCGGAUUUGUGUGCACGGCUAUAUCAUCCGUUUUCUCAUCAUACGCACUCCCAAAGAAAGUUUAAUUGUAUCAGCGCCUGGAUUCGUGUUUAUAGCGUGUUUUGAUUUUCCGUUCAAGUCCUAAGAAAUCAUCGUUCGCGUUCUCGUUUGGAUUUUGUUUAUCAACAAUGUAAUAUAUGUUGUCCUAGUUUUCUUAUGGCUAAUUUAAAGCAUAUAGUUUCGGGGGGGGGAGUCUCACUUUAUUAAACAGUUUACUGAAUCAAUGUUAUGUUAAUGUCUAGUUUUUUUAUAGAAGAAUUGAGCACAUAAACUUCGGAACAAUCUGUCAUUUUAGCUAGUAAUAAUUAUUAGGCCUAUGCCCAGACAGCUGGAAAACCUAGCCAUGUGUGGCUGCACCAGACUGGGUCUAGACUAGGUCCGGAAACCCAGCCUUGGUUGUGUGGCUGAAAACCAAGCCCAUCAUUUGCCCUGUUUUCUCCGAUAUAACCUUCGUCUCUGUGAAAAAUGGCACUCGAAAUAACACCCACUUGGCAUCCAUUUAUUCACAGAAUACUUUCAUGUUAUCCCCGCUUACUGGUCGGUAUCUUGAUCUAUCAAAGCGCUAGCUCUUACAAAAAAUAUAGACUUCAGAUUUUCCAUCCAAUAAUUUAUUUGAAUAAAAAAAUAAAAUUGACCGUUACAAUUAGGAAUACGAGCUACAUACCAUCAUCCAAUAAUACACAAGUCGUGCCCUUCCGUCUUCAUGGGCAAGUCAUUGUCUUCUGCGACUUCAGCAUAUACGAGAUGUAGGGCAGUUGUUUUUUAAAUAAUUUUUUAUAUUAAAAUAUAUGUUAAUGAUAUUUUUUUAUUUUUAAAAUUUUAUUUUUAACAUCAACACAUCAAAAUCAUUCAAAACAUAUAAAUCAUAUCAAAUUUUAACAAAAAAAAAUUAAUUUUUUUAGAAACACGGUUUUGAACCGCGUUCCUUGACAGUUUCGUAGACAGCACAAAUAUUGUAUAUUACACGUGCACUCGUUUUGGGUUAAAAUAUAUACCGAAGGAAAGUAAAAACGACAAAUCCGGUGCCUCUUGAAUUUAUUUAUUUUUUCAUUUUUCAAUAUACACAUACACAUGUGGUGUUUCCUGUGUUCUUGAUGAACUUUUAUGGCUCUGCCAUUUUCCAACUUUCAUUCUCCUUUUUGUUUGUUUAAAGAAAUAACAUCUGCAUAAUUAUUAAGAAGAAAAAAAUAUAUAUAGCUACUGGCACCACAAGAUAACUUGGCUCAAUAUUGAUGAAAUGAAUUUACACAUUAAUCAAGAUUAAGUCUUUUGUAAUAUGAUUUUAAAAAUGCAGUCCCUGUAUCAAUAUGUUCAAAAAUUUAAUAGAUUUUUUUUAAACUCUAGAAAAUUAAAGAACAAAGCAAAACUCCUCAUCCACAGACUAGACCAUUGAAUUAGAACACCAAAGAGUUCAUCUUGUUUCCACAGCCUUAGAUCUACCGAAGAUUCCACGGGUCCAUAGAGUUUUCGAGUUUUUGUUAUGUGGGCUGAGUUAGAUAAGCUGUAGUCUGGUGUUCUUCUAACCACUCGAAUCUUACAAUGGGCUAUUUAGUUGUUGGGUUUCGUUCUCAAUUAGUCUGGGUUAAAUUAAAUUAAAAUAUAUAUAUAUAUAUAUAGUAUUUUAAUUAAUUUUUUAAAAGAUAUUUUAAAAACAAAUCACUAAAUAAAUAUCUCAGCUAUUAUCUUCCCUUCUGUCCAAAGAAAAAGAAAUAAUAAAAAAAUCAAAGAAAAUCUGAACACUUCCGCAGUUUCUUAGCAAUAGCACCGACAGGAAAUUUGGUGACAUUUUUCUUUCAAAUAUACGAGUAGGAAGUAUAAAAAGAAAACGGCACUUUCUCUGCAAUUUACACUUGUAUGAAACGAGGAGUCACAUUUUUCUCAGCUAUUAUCUUCCCUUGCUUGUCUUGUUCUUGCUGGACCUGGCAUCCACCUGAAGUUUCCUCUAUUAGCGCAUAGUUGCUCUCGUAAUGUUUCAAGAGACGUGUCCUAAUGGUUGAAAAUUAUGGCCCUACAAACCAACAUAUUCAAAGAUUCUCAACUUUCGGUCGUCAUAAUUGAAAUAUAUAUAUAUAUAUAUAUAUAGGAGACCAUUUUAUUUUAUUUUAUUUUUAAAUUUGGGUUGAUAAUGCAACGAUGUUGCUUAACAUGGACAUGGACAUGGACAGGGACCUAACAUAAAAUCAACAAGGAAAUUCAGAGAUAAUGCAUGUAUCGAAGAGAUGCCCAUGUUGAAUUAUAAAUAUCAAUCACAGGGAGCCGUGCCUUGGGGGGUAAAUUAGCUUACAUAUGAAGCAAGUACUGACUCGUGAGUCGCGAGUUGGAGGGUUGAGACGCAGGCUUACAUACGCAUUUCAUUUCAAGCUGAUUUGCCUCCAUCCAGGAAUUUUGGAUGGUCACGUCAUGUGAUUGAUAUUAUAAAAUAUUUAAAAAUAUUAAUUUGAAGUAAAAAAUAAAACAAAGUAAAAAUUUAAUUUUUUAAAACAAUAUUUUUAAAAUACAAAAAUUAUUAUUGUAUCUAAUAAUUGUAUUAUUCUAUUCUUUCAUAGACUUACGUGUUCAAUAAAUGUUUAACACAAAUUACUAAUAAAUUAGUUUUCAAAUCUCUUAUUUGUAAAAAGAAAUACCAAGUAAGAGAUCUAAGUAAUAGCGUUGUUUAUUGGUGGUCGAAAGAGAGUGUAUCAAUUGUUAGUACACUUGUAAAAUAAUUUUCAUAUUUUGAAUCUAAAUUCUAAAUAUUUAGUUUUAAGUAAAAUUUUCAUUAUAUAUUUUUAGAGUACAAGCCCUCAACAUGAUUUUUUAUAUUAAUCGAGAGAUUUAGUCAACCUAAUACGACAUGUAUGCCCGUUUCUAUCUAUACUUUUCAAAGAAUCUUCUUAAAGUAGAAGUUUUGUUUUUAGUUUAAUAAGUUUUGUAUUUUUUAUUAAAAAAGAAGUCGGUAUGCGACUUGAUGCGUGCAUGGACAGUUAUUGCAUACUUACUACCCAUGUCAGAUGGAAUAUUCGAUAGUUACUUAAUCAUACCCCUAUUUGGAAAGCAAAAAAUUCCAAGGAAAAUCACUAUAAUAUUCUUUUAAUAUUGCAGGGAAACACUUGAUGAACAAAUUAUAUAAUAAUAAGCUUGAUUAUUGAUUUGCAGGUCUCUUGUGCACCUCAAAUACAUGAUGAUAUUAAUAAUUUUAAGCAGGAGUACUAUCGAUUCUCUCAUGAACGGCGUGCAAUCAAGAUUGAUUUGAUUAAAUUUUCAAAGAGUGGAGUAUUAUUUGAUUAACUACAUUAAUAAUUAAACGUUUAUUUUCUAAAAUCUUACAUGGAUACUUAAUUACAAUAUUAAUUUUCAGAUCCGUCUGAGAAACGCAAUCUACAGGACAAACCUAUACACAGAGAAACAAUAUUCACGAAAAAAAAAAAUACAUAGAUAGUAUUGGUACUCAAACAAACAUUAAUUAUAAGAAUCUAGCUAUAAACGAAAGAAAAAUCAUCGAUGAGGCCUGUAUCACGCUUUAAUCGGGGAAGAACAGUUGAACACCCACUAAAAACAGAGUCGUAGUAGGAUCUCCAAACAAAGCAGAAAUAAUAAUCAUAAUAGCUUUCAUUGCCUUUCUGAUCCAUGUUUUCUUGCCCUUGCUUGAACUUUUCCUGCUUGGGAGUUCUAGUUCUCUACCUGAAAUGGCACUUUGAGGUGCUAGGUAAUUAUCCGUCUCAUUCACUUUGCCAUCUUGAAGGAAAUAACCCAUCUUCCACUUGUUCAAGAUCAUGUCCUUCACACAUGCUAUAUGGUAACAAUAUUGACCACAGGAAGAAACAUAGGACCAGCCUUUGAUUCCGUUCGAAGUUUUCCUACUUCCACAGUUUAAGCAUUUCGAUGGCAGCUUCUCCCUCAGGUGUAACCUCGUGCCAUCAUCAGCUGUUAAGGUAGGCUCGAGCUUUAAACAGCUGGGAUGGUAAUCGUGUGGGUUCUUAUUAUGUUUGCACUGGUACACGAACCCUAACACAUCUUGUCCACAAGCAUCACAGAAUCUUUCAUCCCCUUGCGGGGCUGUGGAGUGAAAUCUCAAGCUGCACUUCGAAAAUGGAUGGAAGGCAGAUGGAGUAGCCUUUGCGCAUUCCUCGUGAAGAUAGAAGUUGCAGUCUUCGUGCUCGCAUUCAUAGCAUGGGCCAAACCCCAGUACUUUGCAUCCGUCACAUUCAUAAGGCUCUCGUGGACGCUUCAACAACAGAAAAUGUUCGCUAUGACUGGAAUGUUUAAUCUUGGUAAUUAAUCCCAUGUCUGUUGAAGCAAAACAAUAAUAAACUUGGUCAGUUAAUCUCAAGUAAGGGCGUAAUAAAACAUGUAACCACACCAUUUUCAGAUGCUGAAAUGUUCCUACCCAGGAAAAUUAUAAACACUUACAGUACUGUUGUGUGAAAUUCAAUAGACCCAACCGCAAAAAGAGAAGAACUGACCAAAUAAUUAAUAUAUUAAGUUUUUAUCCGAAAUUAAGCUAUAUUUAUAAGAGAAAUUGUUUCCAGAUUGAGUUGAAAAGAGGAGAAAGAAAGAAAAGUACGUGGUCUACCCAUUCAACGACAAAGAUAUUGUUUAUGAAUUAAGAGAGCGAGUAUGUAUACGUGUAUUUGAGAGUAUGCUAAGACAUGAUAUUCAUCUUGUGAUCACCAGACACCAGGCAUGCAUGCCUUUUUCGGAGAUGUUAUCCUCUGGAAAAGAAAGGGGGAAGCUGGGGUGGAAUCAGGGAUGCAGAGUGCGAAACCAUCAAACCACUCGUUGAAUAAAACAAGAAUCAUCGUUGAAUUGAUUUCACUAAAUGCGAAGUUUAUAAAAAAUAUAUUAAAAAAAACACACAAGAAUUAUUAAUUAUAGCAAGCAGAUAAAAUAUUAUCUUACCGAAAUGUUUCCGCUAGGAUCUCUAAUGAAUUAAUCUUGGCUUCGACGGCAGGCUUUAUAAACCACGAGCACCUCUUUGAUACCCAAGAUGAUGUGCGUUUAUGUAUGUAUGUAUAUAGGAGCAGUUGAUUCGAAGUGAAGAGCCUCCUCUUGAUAUGCAGUGGUUUAUAUAGACAGAUAAUUAACCGACUUAAAAAGGAAACAUCCUGGAAUUGAGUGUGGAUCGUGCCUUGGGGGGUAAAUGAGCUUACAUAUAACGCUAGUACUGACUGGUGAGCCGCGAGUUGGAGGGUUGGUACUUGGUAGGCAGGCUUACAUAUAACGCAAUUCAUUUCAAAUUUGCCUCCAUCCUGGAACUUCGAUGGUCAAAUCGUGUGAUGAUACCACAUCAGAUGAUAGAAUUAAGUAAUUAAAUAACUAAGAUUGGCUUUGGUCUUUCCUUAACUGCCUUCUUUUCUUUUUCCUUUUUUGGUCCAUUUUGUCUGCAAUACUCUCGUAUCUAUAAUUGUAAUACUAAAUCUAAUGUUUUUUUUUUUUUUACAGUAUUUAUUUGGUCUGAUAUUUUUCUUAGUUUAAGGUUAUCCUUUGAUCCUUAUAGACAAUUUGUCAAACAUGCAGGAGGCAUCUUCAGUAUAUGCGGUAGAGGCUCUUUUAUACAAGCCCCAGUUCAAAUACAACAAAUUCCAGUACACGCGAGACAAAACAAGCCAAAAUAACAUUUCAAUCUCGGAUUUUUGACCUCAUGUAUAAGGGACCAAAAUAAAACAAAUGAGAAAUCAGGGGUUAAAUUGGGUUUGAUCGAACGGCUAUAUUAUCCGUUUUCUCAUCAUACGCACUCCCAAAGAAAGUUUAAUUGUAUCAGCGCCUAGAUUCGUGUUUAUAGCGUGUUUUGAUUUUCCGUUCAAGUCCUAAGAAAUCAUCGUUUGCGUUCUCGUUUGGAUUUUGUUUUUCAACAAGGUAAUACAUGUUGUCAUAGUUUCCUUCUGGCUAAUUUAAAGCAUAUAGUUUCGGGGGGAAAGUCUCACUUUAUUAAACAGUUUACUGAAUCAAUGUUAUGUUAAUGUCUAGGUUUUUUAUAGAAGAAUUGAGCACAUAAACUUCGGAACAAUUUCUCAUUCUAGCUAAUAAUAAUCAUUAGGCUCAGGCCCAGACAGCUGGAAAACCUAGCCAUGUGGCUGCACCAGACUGGGUCUAGACUAGGUCUGGAAACCCAGCCUUGGCUGUGUGGCUGAAAACCAAGUCCAUCAUUCGCCCUGUUUUCUCUGCAAUAACCUUCGUUUCUGUAAAAAAUGGCACUCGAAAUAACACACUUGGCAUCCAUUUAUUCACAGAAUACUUUCAUGUUAUCCCCGCUUACUGGUCGGUAUCUUGAUGGAUCAAAGCACUAGUUUUUACAUCAAAUAUAGACUUCAGAUUUUUCAUCAAAUAAUUUAUUUGAACAGAAAACUAAAAUUGACCGUUACAACUUACAAUUAUGAGUACGAGCUACGCUAGAUACCGUCAUCCUAUAAUACACAAGUUGUGCCCUUCCGUCUUCAUGGGUAAGUCAGUGUCUUCUGGGACUUCAGCAUUUUUUAGAUUUAGAGUAUAUUUGGUAUUGUGAUAGCGGUUGUUUUUUAAAUAUUUUUUUAUGUUAAAAUAUAUGUUAAUAAUAUUUUUUUAUUUUUUUAAAAAUAUUUUUAACAUCAGAACAUUAAAACGAUUUAAAAUAUAUAAUUAUAUUAGAUUUUAAUAAAAAAUAAUAAUUUUUUAAAAAUAUAAUUUUGGACCGAGUUUCCAAAGAGUAUUGUAGACAGCACAAAUAUUGUAUAUUACACGUGCACUCGUUUUGGGUUAAAAUAUAUAUCGAAGGAAAGUAAAAACGACAGAUCAGGUUCCUCUUGAAUUUUUUUAUUUUCAUUUUUCAAUAUACACAUACACAUGUGGUGUUUCCCGUGUUCUUGAUGAACAAAAAUGGCUCUGCCAUUUUCCAACUUUCAUUCUCCUUGUAGUUUGUUUAACGAAAAUAACGUCUGCAUAAUUAUUAAUAAGAAAAAAAUAUAUAUAGCUACUGGCACCACAAGAUAACUUGGCUCAAUAUUGAUGAAAUUAAUUUACAGAUUAAUCAAGAUUAAGUCUUUUGUAAUAUGAUUUUAAAAAUGCAGUCCCUAUAUCAAUAUGUUCAAAAAUUUAAUAGAUUUUUUUUAAACUCUAAAAAAUUAAAGAACAUAGCAAAACUCCUCAUCCACAUGCUAGACCUUGAAUUAGAACACCAAAGAGUUCAUCUUGUUUCGACAGCCUUGAGAUCUACCGAAGACUCCACGGGUCCAUAGAGUUUUCGAGUUUUUAUUAUGUGGGCUGAGUUAGAUAAGCUGUAGUUUGGUGUCCUUCUAACCACUCGAAUCUUAUAAUGGGCUAUUUAGUUGUUGGGCUUCGUUCUUAAUUAGUCUGGUUAAAUUAAAUUAAAAAAUAUAUAUAUAUAUAUAUUAUUUUAAUUAUUUUUUAAAAAAUAAUCACUAUCACAAUUCACAAUCACUAUAUAAAUAUCUCAACUAUUAUCUUCCCUUCUGUCCAAAGAAAAAGAAAUAAUAAAAAAAUCAAAUAAUUUUAUUUUGAAUCUGACAUAUAUAGUUACAUGUCCACUGAAAAACAUUAUACAUGGCAUGCUUAGCUAGCCUUUCCUUGAAAUCUUACAUAGAUACUUAAUUACAAUAUUAAUUUUCAGAUCCGUGUGAGAAACACAAUCUACAGGACAAACCUAUACACAGAGAAACAAUAUACACGAAAAAAAAAGAUACAUAGAUAGUAUUGGUACUCAAACAAACAUUAAUUAUAAGAAUCUAGCUAUAAACGAAAUUAAGAAAAAUCAUCGAUGAGGACUGUAUUACACUUUAAUCGGAGAGCAACUGUUGAACAAGAACUGAAAUCAGAGUCGUAGGAUCUCCAAACAAAGCAGAAAUAAUAAGCAUAAUAGCUUUCUUUGCCUUUCGGAUCCAUAUUUUCUUGGCCUUGCUUGAACUUUUCCAACUUCGGAGUUCUAGUUCUCUACUUGGGAUGGCACUUUGAAGUGCUAGGUAAUUAUCCGUCUCAUUCACGAUUCCAUCUUGAAGGAAAUAACCCUUCUUCCACUUCUUCAAGAUCAUGUCCUUCACACAAGCUACAUGGUAACAAUAUUGACCACAGGAAGAAACAUAGGACCAGCCUUUGAUUCCGUUCGAAGUUUUCCUGCUUCCACAGUUUAAGCAUUUCGAUGGCAGCUUCUCCCUCAGGUGUAACCUCGUGCCAUCAUCAGCUGUUAAGGUACGCUGGAGCUUUAAACAGCUGGGAUGGUAAUCGUGUGGGUUCUUAUGUUUGCACUGGUACACGAACCCUAAGGACAUCUUGUCCACAAGCAUCACAGAAUCUUCCACCCUCUUGCGGGGCUCUGGAGUGAAAUCUCAAGCUGCACUUCGAAAAUGAAUGGAAGGCAGAUGGAGAAGCAUUUGCGCAUUCCUCGUGAAGAUAGAAGCUGCAGUCUUCGUGCUCGCAUUCGUAGCAUGGGCCAAGCCCCAGUCCUUUGCAUCCGUCACAUUCAUAAGGCUCUCGUGGAUGCUUCAACAAGAGAAAAUGUUCGCUAUCAUGACUGGAAUGUUU